GUUCGAUUCCCGGGCGGCGCACCACUUUUGCUUCCAAAAAUGCACGUAUCUUCUACACACUUUUGCUGGUACAGAUUCGCAUUGAUGUUGCUUUUUAUCCAAGAGGAUUUCCAUUUCAAGCCCCCCAUUAAUGGUCAGUCUCCGUGGAUGGGUCAACAUUGUACAGCAGCUGUGACCGAGGCCUCGUCAAACUUUGGGACAUGGAGACAACAGUGGCUUAGUGUGACAAGAGGACGUGGAGAACAAUAUUUUCACAUGUAACCUUUUUUAGCAAACAGCAUGCCAUGUGCGAUUGGGUCAUUUCUUUGCCCUCCUCUCCGGAAGGGAAUCGAGGCUGCUGACUUUUUGUGAACCAAACUCUGACGCCGAUGAGUGCCUUAUGACAUUCAACCCCCCCCCCAAAGAAGCGGGACCCUCUGGGGGCAGAUACGCUGAUCAAAUCAAAGAUUCCCACCUUGCAAAAAACCCCACAAUUUUCACAAAACGUCCAUCCUUUCUCUCAAUUGUCUUCUAAAUUCACAAAAUGUAGGAUUUUCUAUUUGUAAAUGUGUUCAUUUGCUUGUGAACAGACAUUCUUUUCUUGAAAUAAAGUUGUUGAUGAUAUCUUAAAAA
Molecule: long non-coding RNA, 612 nt
Organism: Gasterosteus aculeatus aculeatus (three-spined stickleback)
Lineage: Eukaryota; Metazoa; Chordata; Actinopteri; Perciformes; Gasterosteidae
Source: Ensembl